This 377-nucleotide ribosomal RNA is filed under the name uncultured eukaryote. RNAcentral describes it as "partial 18S ribosomal RNA". It matches the Rfam family "Eukaryotic small subunit ribosomal RNA", at positions 592 to 976 of the family's 1831-position model. The record is from RNAcentral.
CAAUAGCGUAUAUUUAAGUUGCUGCAGUUAAAAAGCUCGUAGUUGGAUUUCGGGUGGGAAUGGCCGGUCCGCCGUUUCGGUGUGCACUUGCUACGCCCACCUUGCUGCCGGGGACGUGCUCUUGAGUUCACGCUCGGGACACGGAGUCGGCGAGGUUACUUUGAGUAAAUUAGAGUGUUCAAAGCAGGCCUACGCUCUGAAUACAUUAGCAUGGAAUAACACGAUAGGACUCUGGCCUAUCUUGUUGGUCUGUAGGACCGGAGUAAUGAUUAAGAGGGACAGUCGGGGGCAUUCGUAUUUCAUUGUCGGAGGUGAAAUUCUUGGAUUUAUGAAAGACGAACUACUGCGAAAGCAUUUGCCAAGGAUGUUUUCAUUAA